ACGGAAGGCAGCAGUCGGGAAUAUUGCGCAAUGGAGGGAACUCUGACGCAGUGACGCCGCGUAUAGGAAGAAGGUUUUCGGAUUGUAAACUAUUGUCGUUAGGGAAGAAAAAAAUGACAGUACCUAAGGAGGAAGCACCGGCUAACUAUGUGCCAGCAGCCGCGGUAAUACAUAGGGUGCGAGCGUUAUCCGGAUUUAUUGGGUGUAAAGGGUGCGUAGACGGGAAAUUAAGUUAGUUGUGAAAUCCCUCGGCUUAACUGAGGAACUGCAACUGAAACUGAUAUUCUUGAGUGUCGGAGGGGAAAGUGGAAUUCCCAGUGUAGCGGUGAAAUGCGUAGAGAUUGGGAGGAACACCAGUGGCGAAGGCGGCUUUCUGGACGAUAACUGACGCUGAGGCGCGAAAGCGUGGGGAGCAAACAGGAUUAGAUACCCUGGUA
Molecule: ribosomal RNA, 437 nt
Filed under: uncultured Oscillospiraceae bacterium
Lineage: Bacteria; Bacillati; Bacillota; Clostridia; Eubacteriales; Oscillospiraceae
Description: partial 16S ribosomal RNA
Rfam family: Bacterial small subunit ribosomal RNA
Source: RNAcentral